CUGGGGAUGUUUGCCUUUGUGUUCUGACUCUGACACUUUGUCAUGUGGACUCUUGGGCAAGAAACAGAGUUGUCCAUCCAUGGUCAGCUGGGGACUAUAGCCUCUGCCUCUGGCGGGGUGCCGCUGGACACCAUUAGGUGGGUCCCAAUCAUUUGCCCUCUAAGUUUGACUGGCAACAGCUGUGAGAAAGUGUUGCCUGGGAGAAUGGCUCCCUGCCCCUGCUCAUACUGUUUGAAAAACUCUGCCCACAGAAACGCAAGUUCAUUUCCUUCCUGCUGGCUACUGAUCUCUGUCUCCAGAAGGGAUUAAUCUCCCCUUUGGAAGGGCUCAGGGGAGGGCUGCUGGGCAGGGGUGUGCCCAGGUGUCAGUCCUGCCCUGGGGUGCGAGGCUGUCCCUGCUGCAACCUGGUUGGAGCCCUGAGAAGAGGAAGAGGGAGACCUGGGGCCAGGCGUCUCACUUAGGUGCUUUCUGGGCAGAGAGGCCAUCAGUGCUCCGAAUUCCACCGCAGACUUGGCUGGACGAGGGGCUGUGAAGGGACAGCUUCCCAAGAACCAAGCACAGGAGUUGAUGAUAAAGAGCAGGCUUUCUCUCCAACACCUAUAACAAAUCACUUGCGUAUUGCACUGGUCUUGUCUGGCUCAUCUUCCUGCGUCAGAGUAAAAGACAAGCCAAGUGAGGUGUGGCAGGCACCGGGACCACAUGGCAUCCAAGCCCAACGAGCCAGUCGCCAUCCUCAGCCUGCGCAGACUGAGCCUCUCGGGCCCAGAACCACAGCAGCAGAAAGAGCCCAAGACCUUCACAGUGGAGGACGCGGUGGAGACCAUCGGGUUCGGCCUCUUCCACAUCGCCCUGUUCCUGAUCAUGGGCAGCACGGGGGUGGUCGAGGCCAUGGAGAUCAUGCUAAUCGCUGUGGUGUCCCCUGUCAUCCGCUGUGAGUGGCACCUGGAGAACUGGCAGGUGGCAUUCGUGACCACGGUGAGUACCUGUGUCCUGUGCCGUGCAGGAGCAGCUGAAGGGCUCAGCUCCCCUUUCUGUACCCUCGGGAUGGCCACUGAGAAACAAAUCCCUAACCUUGCAGGCUGGCAGGGCUGGCCAUGUAAUUAGAAGCCACUCACUUGGGCCAUCGUGAGCUAACCAG
This 1138-nucleotide long non-coding RNA is filed under the name Cavia porcellus (domestic guinea pig). RNAcentral describes it as "lncRNA (ENSCPOG00000031998.1)". The record is from RNAcentral. Lineage: Eukaryota; Metazoa; Chordata; Mammalia; Rodentia; Caviidae.